UCAGUGCCAGGGAAUGGUCUCUAGUUGUUUGAUUGACAGAUGCCAGAGGCCCAUCAAAGCUGCUCUGUCAGUCCCCUCCUCAGAUGGACAGGAGAAAAAAUAUAACAAAAAAGCUUGUGGGUCAAGAUAAGGACAGGGAGAAAUCACUCAGCAAUUACUGUCAUUGGCAAAACAGACUUAACUUGAGGAAAUGAAUUUAUUACCAGUCAAAUCAAUGGUGACUAACAAAACCAAACCAUGGAACACUUUGCCCCACUCCUCCCUUCUUCUGGGGCUCAGCUUCACUCCUGCUUUCUCUGCCUCCCCUCUCCAGCAGCACGGGGGGACAGAGGCUGCAUCAGUUCAUCGCACACUGUCUCUUCUGCUCCCUCCUCUUCCUCACACCCUUGCCCCGCUGCUCUCCCCCGGUGUGCGGUCCCUGCCACAGGAAACAGUCCUGCCCAAACUCCAGUGUGAGUCCUUCUCACGUGCUGCUCCAGCGGGUCCCUUCUGCUGGGAGCAGGCUUUUGGGAGCAGGCCUUCGGGAUCAGGCCUUUGGGAUCAGACCUUUGGGAUCAGGCCUUAGGGAUCAGACCUUCGGGAUCAGGCCUUUGGGAUCAGGCCUUUGGGAUCAGGCCUUUGGGAUCAGGCCUUUGGGAUCAGGCCUUUGGGAUCAGGCCUUUGGGAUCAGGCCUUUGGGAUCAGGCCUUAGGGAGCCGACUGCUCCAACACACACCCACUAGAGGCCCGUGAGUCCUGCCAGCAAACCUGCCCCAGUGAGGGAUCCUCUCUCUUUCCACGAGUCCACAGAUCCUGCCAGGAGCCUUCUGCAGGAAUUAUGCAUUUCCCGUUCUUGUUCUCAUGCUCGGUAUACACAGGAAUGUCAAGAAGGUCUUUUUUAUCAUACCAUCCCCUUCAGGUAUCUUUUUGAGACAAGGAAAAUGGAAUCAACUUUACAUUUCCACCUUUAAUGAAGAGAAUCUAUGGUUGUUCAAUGCUCUGGACAGCAUUUGCUUUAUCCGUAGAGGUGACAAGGAACUCUACGUGCAUUUCAAGAGAAGAAGAUGGCAUGGCUCACCUUUCAAUGACACCAUUUCCCUCAGCUUAAACUGGUUUUAGAGUAUUUUUGCUCAUAAUGUUGGUGCAAGUUAUAUUUAUAUCUUGUCUACCCAAGUGUUUACAUAUUAAAAUAUUGUCAAUUGUCAACAAUGACAGUGUGUCUGUUCCUCCUCUGGAGACAGAGUAUUAAUAUAUGUUCGUUAGUAGUGUUGUUAAUCAUAUAAUGCUCAAUACACUGUGCAUCUCAAUAAAGUUGACACCCAUCAUCUAAUAUUGGUCUCCUUUUAAGGGGGAAAAAGUGAGAUUCAGGAAUUCAGCUGACAUGUGGCACCCAGUGGUUCCAGCUCCUGAUCUGUUAACUG
Molecule: non-coding RNA, 1400 nt
Organism: Cyanistes caeruleus (blue tit)
Lineage: Eukaryota; Metazoa; Chordata; Aves; Passeriformes; Paridae
Source: RefSeq, a predicted model, not a curated record